Molecule: non-coding RNA, 72 nt
Organism: Podarcis lilfordi (Lilford's wall lizard)
Lineage: Eukaryota; Metazoa; Chordata; Lepidosauria; Squamata; Lacertidae
Source: the annotation of a GenBank genome assembly
GGAUUGGGGUUCAGUGGUUAGAGCAUCUGCUUCGCAUGCAGAAGAUCGCAGUCUUAAUCCCUGGAAUCUCCA